Long non-coding RNA from Dermochelys coriacea (leatherback sea turtle), 4790 nucleotides. RefSeq lists it as uncharacterized. NCBI's taxonomy places the organism in Eukaryota, Metazoa, Chordata, Testudines, Dermochelyidae. The record is from RefSeq and is a predicted model, not a curated record. The transcript is spliced from 3 exons.
CCCAGCUCCGAAGGCAGGAGCACAGAAGUUAGGUUGGCAAUACCAUACCAGGCCAUCCUUACUUCUGCAAUGUGGCUGGCGGCAGCUCUGCCUUCAGAGCUGGGCUCCUAGCCUGCAGCUGCCACGCUUUGGCCACCCAGCUGUGACAGCAGCAUUGCAACCCCCCCUCCACACACACACACAAUUCCUUUUUGGGUCAGGACCCUUACAAUUACACCACCAUGAAAUUUCAGAUUUAAAUAGCUGAAAUAAUGAAAUUUACGAUUUUUAAAAUCCUAUGACCGUGAAAUUGACCAAAAUGGACAGUGAAUUUGGUAGGGCCCUGACAAUAAGGCACCAGCUGAUUCAUAGUUGAACAACAACGCUCACCCGCUCCCUUGGCCAAUGAAGUCCUGCGCGUCUCAAGCUGGGACCCAAAAAUGAAGGCUUCCACAAUGAUUAGGCACUUCUGAAAAUUAGGCCAGAAUUUUCACAACACACCUCAAAGACAAGCAAGCAUCUCCAAUAUACAGAGGGCUAAACUAAGCCGUAGAGAGGCUACAGUCAAUGGGACUUGUGCUCCUAAGUCAUGGAGCUACCUUUGAAACUCCCACCCAAGAACAACAAGCUUUAAGCUUUUGUAUGCACUAGACAAUCAAUCAACAAUGCAGAUCCCAUUGGCUGGAGAAAUUCCAUCACCGUGAACAAAACCUCAGCAUUUAGACAGGGCACAUGUGAAGUGGAGAUAAACGUUUCUCACUGGGUGCAAAUGUCAACCAGGCAUAUGCACACGAACCAGAGAACUAGAACUGACCCCAAACCAAACCCCCAGAAGGCAGGAGAGACUGUAGUGCUGAAAGCAUCCUGGCCUGACUGGUAAAUGGAUCAGACCAAAACAAACGAACAAAAAAGGCCAAGGCAUCAGUAAACAUUCCAUGGUACGAUCUCUCAUGAACCACCAGGCCUAGAAACUCAUGCUAUACCCCUCUCUAUAUGUCUGGGAAUGCCAGCUAUCCAAUGCACUACAGAGGUGUGUACCAGCUUCGAGGUGCUAGAAAUGUCAGACUCUAAGAAUCACACCGUUCAGUUUGCACGACCACUGCAUCUAAUUCUUGCAGAGUAGCAUCUUGGCCUGUGACCCAGCCAGUCAACACCUGCACCAGGGCAAAACAAUCCUUGGGAAGAGCAGAUCCAAACUCUGUGAAUGGCCCACCAUAUUUAUUGUAGUCCCAACCAAAACCCUGGAUCUAAACUUUGGCGGAUCUGGACCUGAAUGGUACAGCUCAGGCCCAUUUCUUUCUAUUUCAGUGUUGCCAACUCUCAUGAUUUUAUUACAAGUCUUGGAUACCUGAUGUUUUCCCUAAAGCCCCAGCUCCUGGAAUCAUGUGAUUAGGCAUUUUCACACAGCCUACCCAUCUACUCUGUUUUACAUAUCCAAUCAUCCGUCCAGGCAAGAAAACACCCCUCAGAUGGUAUCAACUCUGCAUCUCAAUCUACCAGGCUGGCUUCAAACCUGUCUCAAGCCCAAAGGCCCUGUGUAGCCUAUUGCCAACCCACUGAUCAGUAGAAUUUGUCUCUGCAAGGCUUGCAACAAAAAUGGAGGCCAAUUGCCUCAGUGACACUUGAGGGACAAUGGAUCAGAGGAUCGAUACUGAAAGGAGUUUCAUUCUUGGAGAACGGACUUGGGAGAGUCUGGGCUCACUGGAAACAGGACUAUUUAGAGAGCCAAUAAAUAUCCUGAAUCUUCAUCUAAAUAGGAAUCGGAAGCCAUAAAUGGGGUGCCAUUUGGAUAAAGCCUGGAGUCCACAUUAGUCGCCGACAAUGGCAAGUCCCAAUUCACCUUCCAACAGAAGAUUAAAUGUUAUGGUUAAAGUUUUCAAAGCAGCCUAAGGCAAAGAGGUGCCCAAAUCCCGCUGGGAGUUGUGACCGCAAGUACUUUAGUCCUUCUGAAACCCCAUAGGAGAUUGUCCCACAGAGCGACCAUGAGGAAAGAGAGAGAAGGAACCGUAAACAAGGACAGCUACAGAGAACCAGACAUGAAUGCUGACCAUUUAUUUCUCUUCCAGGAGAAGUAAAGGCCUUUCCCUAAUAUCCCAGCAAAAGCUGUGACAGCCCAUGUGUCAGGAUACCACCAUCUGGAAUAAUUUAUCGGUUCUAAGAAGUUCAGCCUCCACAUGGCUGACGUCAGGGGAAUCUCAUAGGAUAAGGUGGAUCAGAUGGACUUGAGCGGCCAAAGACAGGACAGUAACUGAAUUUAGAGCCGGUGCAUCUUACGCCUUCUGCUGCACCUCUCAGUGUGCAACCUACACCAACUUAGACAUGUCGAUGGGUAACAACACUCCCCAGAAAUCACCACAUCUGGAAUUUGCUCACUGAGCCUGAGGGAUUCCAAGAGGGUGAGUCGAAGAUAGUGGAGAUCACACACCGGGGAGACCACACAGUAAAUGAUGCCGGCUUUAAGUCCUCAGACUCCACCUCAGAAUCUGGCUCUUUGAAUUUUGGCCCAGCUCUUCCCCUCGCAGGGCAGCGGAGUUGGCAAUUCCCAUUACAAGCACUGCUAGUAACUGGAUGCAAGCGCUGUGCCUCCAGCCCACUCACAUACAAGAGACGGACGCAGCUAACGCCAUUGCUGAGGUUGGACCUUUCAGACGCUUGGAGUGGAGCGGAACUUGGGAAGCAAGCAUUGGCUCUCCACCAGUCUCCCCCAGAAAAAGGCACAUUCCAAAUAAGCCAGCCCCUUUCCCAAAGUGACAAGAUAACGUUUUACUGAAGGACUCAGGAAACCCUCUGACUUGCAAUAGCCUGGGACAGGACAGACAGCCGAGGGGGAGGGCUAUUAGCACAGCUGGCUUUCAAGAAGGCAAGGGAGUCACCUUUAACCCGACAAAUGCACGUGAAUACAAGUCUAUUGUGCACAAAUGUAGCUUUGAUUAAUGAUUUUCCUGGGCUUUCACUGCUUCCUGUACCAGGCUGCAAUGACAGAGGGGACAGGCCCAGAGAAGACAGAGAGAACAUUUCCCCAAAAAGACCUGUCAUUUCAGGUGCUGAGCACCCGCAGUUCCAACAGGGCUCGGCAUGUGCCCAACACUCCUGAAAACCACGUCUGAGGUGCCUGAAAUUGGGUAGCCAAAAUCAGAGGCCCCUUUGGCUGCUGGUCACUUGCCUGUAGUCCCAUAGGGAGACGGUAGUGAAGCGAAGGCUAGAACCCGGGCCUCUUGACUCCCAAACCAUCUGGCAUUUUUGAAUCUUUAACAGAAAGCAGCACUUUCCACUUUAUCAGUGCAUUUUGUGCAACACUUUACACCCAUUAAACAAAAUUCUCAUCCCCCCUGCCAUGGGGUAGCUAAAGUGUUAUCCUCCACAUAUUUACAUAUGGGGAAAUAGGCACAAGAAGGUUCGUUCUCCAUCCAGGUUCUGAUAAACGCAUCCAUCGCUGUGGGAAAGUGACUUGCUUAAGGGCUUGCAGUAUGUCAGUAUCAGAGCCAGGAUUAGUACGACGGAGUUCCUGGUUCUUGAUCUGCCUGUGGGCUGGUAACCCCAGAGGAACAGGUUCUUGAGAGAGGUUUCUAGCAUUCCUAGGCCAGAAUGCGGAGUUUUCAGGCACCAAAACAAUUUUAAAAUCAAGUUUAGAUCUAAAAAGCAGCUGACAGAUCCAUGCGUGUUCUUUUCCUCAAGCCUGUUUGCGGAUCUCUUAUCUAGACAUAUCUACAGCUUCAAAACAAGCCAAGUACCUGCAGUGGGUUACUUUGAUUAGUCGCAAAAUAGAGCAAGUUGUCGAGGGUUAGUAAAUGGUAGUAACGUUGGAACCUAAGCACUGUACUUACUGGUAAUGCAAUGGAUACCGUUUUGGGGGUCUGAUUGGACGGGUUCCAUUGGGAUCUUUAUAACUGAGGGAGUUGGGAACCGAGGCUGGGAAAAAAGCGGGAAGAGCCAGUGAAUACAUUGAUUCAUACAGACAUGUCCGGGGUUAGCAUGCCUGAAAACAUACUCAUGCUGAUGAAAAUACAGACGCCUUUCCGCAUUAAAUGAAUCUUUCUUAUGCAUAUGACAGAAGGCCAGGAUUUUCAAAGGAGUCUAAAGGAUUAGGUCCCCAGUUCCCACUGAAAAUCAUACCCUAGACAUCUAUGUAUCUAUUUGCAUGGUGGAAAGAUCAGCAUCAGUUACACCAAUUAGCAUUAAUCAGGGUAACAUGUUGCCUGCCCAUAACAAUAGCUUACAUUUCUAACACCAUUCAUGCUAAAGGAUCCCACAUAAACUACGGUAACACCAUUUAUCUGAAAUGGUUUGGGGGCAUCAGAAACAUCUGGCUAUAACAAGGGGAUUGGAUGAGAGUGUUACAUUACUUGGUAAAUAAUUCACAUAAGUGGACAUAACUAAGAUUAGAAUAAGGAAGAUUUCUGGGUCAGAGAUAUUUGGAUAAAUGAGAUCCUCCUACACACAGAAGUCACCCUCCACUAAAAUGCAGCCAGCUCUGGGGGGGGGGGGGAAGGAGGUGGGGGGAAUGUGGCAGCUCCUUAACAAUGAAUGCUAUGCAUCAGUUUAAGACAGGAAGUAAAAAGAACCAUUGUAUCCAAUUCAAACGGCAAGGGGAGACUACAUAGCUAGAAUCAAUGGGGAAAUAAACCACAUAGUUUGUAAAGCUCGGAUGGUGUCUACAAAAUUUCAUCCAGAUACUUAAACACAAGGAGUUUGGUGAUCAGUUUAUGCCCAAAAGCAUAAACCCUGAUGGCCCUUUUAACUUUUACCUUAGCUAGUAGUAUAACUGUCACUGCUAGUUUUAGUCAAAUAAAUGCCUCUUCCUUUGAUUCUUA